UACGGAGGGUGCAAGCAUUGAUCGGAAUUAUUGGGCGUAAAGGGCGCGUAGGCGGCUUUAUAAGUUAGAUGUGAAAUUCCGGGGCUCAACCCCGGAGCUGCAUUUAAAACUGUAGAGCUAGAGUAUAGUUAGGGUAAACGGAAUUCCACGUGUAGCGGUGAAAUGCGUAGAUAUGUGGAAGAACACCGGUGGUGAAGACGGUUUACUGGGCUGUAACUGACGCUGAGGCGCGAAAGCAUGGGGAGCAAACAGG
This 253-nucleotide ribosomal RNA is filed under the name uncultured bacterium. Its description in RNAcentral is "partial 16S ribosomal RNA". It matches the Rfam family "Bacterial small subunit ribosomal RNA", at positions 524 to 776 of the family's 1533-position model. The record is from RNAcentral.